This 364-nucleotide unclassified non-coding RNA is filed under the name Hevea brasiliensis (rubber tree). The record is from RNAcentral. Lineage: Eukaryota; Viridiplantae; Streptophyta; Magnoliopsida; Malpighiales; Euphorbiaceae.
UUUUAAUCCACAGUGGUUCACCACUAGUAGCCAUCUUUUGAAGUUGUUCCAUUGCUUGAUUAACGAUGUGCAUAAUUCUUGGUUUUUCAAGCCCAAAAAUGCCUGUGUAAAAAUCUAAAGCGCUUUUAUUUUCUUCAUCAUUUCCUCCUGAACAUGAAGAUGAACUAUUUGGUGAUGUCCCUAUUUGGUAUUUUCCCAAUGCUGCCCUAAGCUUUUCAACCUCAGCCCUAAGUCUGGCGUUUUCGAUUCGCAAUUGUUGUUCUUCAGCAGGAAGAGUAGGAGCAUUAUUGGUAGAGCUAGCAAAUCCACAAUUAGGACAAGAAGGAUUCUUUGAAUUUCCCCUUAAUCCCUUAUUUUCUUCACG